RNAcentral lists this microRNA precursor (76 nucleotides) under Myotis brandtii (Brandt's bat). RNAcentral's name for it is "mir-9229 microRNA precursor family". It matches the Rfam family "mir-9229 microRNA precursor family". The record is from Rfam by way of RNAcentral. Lineage: Eukaryota; Metazoa; Chordata; Mammalia; Chiroptera; Vespertilionidae.
GAGACACCCUUAUGGGUCAGAACUUGCUUCAGUUGUGCUUUGGCGCUCACUGAGUCUGCCCCUUAAGUGUGUUGCU